This is a long non-coding RNA of Triticum dicoccoides, 1239 nucleotides long. RefSeq lists it as uncharacterized. The record is from RefSeq and is a predicted model, not a curated record. The transcript has 2 exons. Lineage: Eukaryota; Viridiplantae; Streptophyta; Magnoliopsida; Poales; Poaceae.
CUCCGCUCCCGGUUCGCCUGUUUUCCCUCUUGCGUCCUUUGAUUGCAUAUGCGGCAAGGUGUUCGACGCGUGCUGUUCAUGCCGCGUGCGUGGAAUGCCGUGAGAGUGGUGACCGCGACUGCUGCUGAUUUUGAUUAGCUUCUGUGUUUGCCAUUGGAUUGGAGAAUUGUGAAUCUGCACAUCCUUGUGGUUCAAGAUGGCCGUGCUUGGACGAGGGGAUACAUAUGUUGCGUUCGAUCUCAGGCUGCAAGUGGGAUGUUCCGCAGGAGCCCGCAAACACGCCCACAUCUGCCCCGUAGUAUUAGUGGGAAUCCAGCAUAUGUCCACAUAAUUUUUCACGGGAUAAGUGGGCAUCCCACAUCCCACGUAAUCCCUAUGUAAAUCACAGGCUCAAGCUUAUAUUUUCUGUUUUGCAAUGGACAUGGAAGGAGCAGAGAAGUUCAGGCUUCAUUAUAUCAGCUCAGUGGUUCGGCGGGCGUCGCUUCAGUAGAAGAAUCACAUCGAAAAUGAUUUUAGAAGUGCCACUGUUAUAAGAUCAAAAUAAGAGGUGAGCAGGGUGCAAUCUGCUUGCUUGCAGCUGAUGUUCCUUGAAGCAGCGAGCUUCUUCAUGGCGUUCUUGAGAGAAGAAGAAAUCAAGGAGGAUUGGAUGAGGAGGGAAGAUACCACAACCGCUGACUCGCAUUAUCAGGCCACAGAUGAUACGUGAUUCAACAGGGUAGAAUGAAUCGGCUUUGCUCUGAACAAUUUAGAGGAAAUUGGCUGAAGAUGUAGUAGUCGAUAGGAAAUAAAUCACAGAUGAGAGAGGGGAAGAAGAAGACUGAACUGCACCUGUACAUGGCGGAGGUUGACGACGACAUUACGGCGUCCAUGGCGGAGUUGGACAGCGGCGCUGGGCGGCCAUGGGGAAGGUACACGGCGGCGCCGCGGCCAUGGCAGCAUGUCAUAAUCGGGCUAAUCCGCACGACUGACGUUCGACUCAAAAGGGAUGUGGGUUUGAUGUGGGCGCUGCGGGACAUCCCACAUAAUCCGCAUCUCUCGGUGCUCUAACUGUGGGUGUCCACGAUCGUAAAUUAUGUGGGCUUGGACGUGGGCACCGCGGACAGCCCGCGUCCACUUGCAGCCUGAGUUCCAUCAGAAACAUCAAUUGUUUUGUUGCUUCAUGCAAAUUUUCUUUGCAUAAUAUUGUUACUGGCAAUCAGGACGAGGUGGGACCGUGGGAAUGAUGAUUACAUUCGCGUA